This 433-nucleotide ribosomal RNA is filed under the name uncultured bacterium. RNAcentral's name for it is "partial 16S ribosomal RNA". It matches the Rfam family "Bacterial small subunit ribosomal RNA", at positions 29 to 507 of the family's 1533-position model. The record is from RNAcentral.
AACGAACGCUGGCGGCAUGCCUAACACAUGCAAGUCGAACGAGACCUUCGGGUCUAGUGGCGCACGGGUGCGUAACGCGUGGGAACCUGCCCUUAGGUUCGGAAUAACUCCCCGAAAGGGGUGCUAAUACCGGAUAAUUUCUUCGGACCAAAGAUUUAUCGCCUUUGGAUGGGCCCGCGUUGGAUUAGCUAGUUGGUAGGGUAAAAGCCUACCAAGGCGACGAUCCAUAGCUGGUCUGAGAGGAUGAUCAGCCACACUGGGACUGAGACACGGCCCAGACUCCUACGGGAGGCAGCAGUGGGGAAUAUUGGACAAUGGGCGAAAGCCUGAUCCAGCAAUGCCGCGUGAGUGAUGAAGGCCUUAGGGUCGUAAAGCUCUUUUACCCGGGAUGAUAAUGACAGUACCGGGAGAAUAAGCUCCGGCUAACUCCGUG